Molecule: ribosomal RNA, 259 nt
Filed under: uncultured bacterium
Lineage: Bacteria
Description: partial 16S ribosomal RNA
Rfam family: Bacterial small subunit ribosomal RNA
Source: RNAcentral
UACAUGGGGUGCAAACGUUUGCUCGGAAUUAUUGGGCGUAAAGCGCACGUAGGCGGUUCGUUAAGUCGGAUGUGAAAGCCCUCGGCUCAACCAAGGAAGUGCUUUCGAAACUGCUGAGCUUGAGUACUUAAGAGGAUCGCGGAAAUUCCCGGUGUAGAGGUGAAAUUCGUAGAAUAUCUGGAGGAACACCGGGUGGCGAAGGCGGCAUCCUGGACCGAUACUGACGCUGAUGGAGCGAAAAGCCAGGGGAGCAAACGGG